RNAcentral lists this ribosomal RNA (449 nucleotides) under uncultured bacterium. Its description in RNAcentral is "partial 16S ribosomal RNA". It matches the Rfam family "Bacterial small subunit ribosomal RNA", at positions 29 to 523 of the family's 1533-position model. The record is from RNAcentral.
AACGAACGCUGGCGGCAUGCCUAACACAUGCAAGUCGAACGAAGCCUUCGGGCUUAGCGGCGCACGGGUGCGUAACGCGUGGGAAUCUGCCCUUGGGUUCGGAAUAACAGUUAGAAAUGACUGCUAAUACCGGAUGAUGUCUUCGGACCAAAGAUUUAUCGCCCAAGGAUGAGCCCGCGUAGGAUUAGGUAGUUGGUGGGGUAAAGGCCCACCAAGCCGACGAUCCUUGGCUGGUCUGAGAGGAUGAUCAGCCACACUGGGACUGAGACACGGCCCAGACUCCUACGGGAGGCAGCAGUGGGGAAUAUUGGACAAUGGGCGAAAGCCUGAUCCAGCAAUGCCGCGUGAGUGAUGAAGGCCUUAGGGUUGUAAAGCUCUUUUACCAGGGAUGAUAAUGACAGUACCUGGAGAAUAAGCUCCGGCUAACUCCGUGCCAGCCGCCGCGGUAA